AGGGUGCAAUUUUCUUCCAAAUUUUGUGCAAAAAUGUGACUAUGCGGCCUUACAUGUCUAGCGCGAGACUCCCAUGAAUAAAAUAAUUUCGACCCUCAUGUGUGUGUUGUGUCAACCUCGUACUCAUCCAUACGUGCACUGUAGCACGACUCUUUCAGUUUUAAUUCUAUUUAUCUGACAUGAUUCCAUUUUCAGAAUGUACCAUUUAAUCCUUUUGAUUUUCUAUCCCAAGUUUUGCCCUUUUAUCAAUCAAUGAAUUACAGGGUGUAGGGUUGCACAAAAAAAUCGCGAAACUGCAAAUCGAACCGAAAUCGUUGAGUUGAAACCGUUGGUUCGGGUCCACGUGGACCUGUGAUUUCUUUUUCUUCAAACCGAACCAAACCGUUUCAAAAUGGUUUGGUUUAGAUUUUGAUUUUCAAAAACCGCACAAAAUCAAACCGAACCAUUUUUAAAUUUUUUAAUUAAAAAUUAAUUUUAAAAUUUUUACUGUUUUCAUUUUUUUAAAUAAAAAAUAUCAAUUUAACAAUACAAAUUACAACUAGC
This 543-nucleotide long non-coding RNA is filed under the name Olea europaea (common olive). Its description in RNAcentral is "long non-coding RNA (OEUR_LNC009377)". Lineage: Eukaryota; Viridiplantae; Streptophyta; Magnoliopsida; Lamiales; Oleaceae. The record is from RNAcentral.